This 270-nucleotide ribosomal RNA is filed under the name Triticum aestivum (bread wheat). RNAcentral describes it as "partial small subunit ribosomal RNA". The record is from RNAcentral. Lineage: Eukaryota; Viridiplantae; Streptophyta; Magnoliopsida; Poales; Poaceae.
AGCUCCAAGAAUACGCGGAGGAGGUGGCCCGGGUCGGCGUCGGCGCCGUCCGGUGCGGGCCACGGGCCCGCUUCCAAGUGCGUCUGCGCGCCGGCCACCCACGCCGGGUCCUUCAAGUGCCGCUUCCACCGCACCAACUCCCAGGGCCACGGCCACGCCCAGGGCCAGGGAAGCCGCCCUUCUUCGCCCCCUUCACCGGCCGCGGCCAACGCGGUGCCGUGGCACCCGGCCUCGCUGUCCUCGUCCUCCGACACCGUCACGAUCCAGUGA